UUAUGAACAAGAAAGGACUACUGCUAUUCGUGCACUAUUGCAUCGAUAGGGUGACCGAAGAGGUAGAGGCAUUUGGUGAAGGCUUCGACAAAUAUAAUUUUUUGUCUUUUCUGCGAUCAAUGCCCUUCGAUGAAGCUCGCCUACUGUUUGCAGAGAACAAUUCACAAAUUGAAAACCGUGAAACAUUUCUGGUACAAUAUGUCAUAUCGGAGGAUGUGAAGCAAACUAAAGUUUAUGGAUAUCUGCUAGAAUAUUUGAGGUUGUCACUCCUCCGCCACAUCCUCCAUUGAUACACUGGAUUAAAGCUUUGCUUUGGCACUGAAUUAUCUAUACGUUUCUUUUUUAUUUGUUUUGUUCGAUCAGUGACAUUGUUACGUGUGAAAAAAGCUUGAUAAUAAUUGAGGUAGGUAUAGAAUAUGGCCUAUGAGACAUCGCGUGUAUUGCAGGUAUGUUAAUGUGCAAUUUAUAAGGAGUAUUCUAAUAAAUAAAAUUUAGUUAUCAUUGCACAACACAAUGAAUAAACCCGUUCAAAAUAAAAAUUUACUCUCGAAGUUGUUGCCUAUCACAUACUAUUAGAUUGAUGAUGAUCGUGAGAAAAUAAUUCUUUUUCUGGGGUACUUGUGAGGAAAAUCAUAGAUAUUGGCGUUUGUGCCUGAAAAUAUUAUGAAAAGUGGUUACAGAGUCGUGACAGCAUCUGAAACAUUUUAUCAAGUUUAAAAGUUAUUUCAAUCAAGUAAUUGUAAUUUUUAAUAAAGUUAACUAUAGCUUUCCAAUUUGCUUUUUCAAGAUUUUCAUUCUUUAAUUUCAAUAUUCAUUGACUAAUUGAAUUUAUUGGACUGCACACAAGUUGGUGUGUUAGUUCUCCUGGGUGCCAGUAAUUUUAGAAAGAUGCACGAAGCACUUCCAUCUUACGAGGUUUGAGUUACGUCGGCGGAGCUUCAGCCUCUCCAAUUAAACCGAACAAUUGAAUGAAAAUUGGAGAGAGAAUCUGAAAAGACGUAGUUCACCUCAAGAUGGAGAUGAUGUCAUUAUUCUUUACGAAACUAAUGGUUUCCUGAGUAAUGCGCUGAUUUCAGAGAUCAAGCACAACUGGAGAAGAAUCGUGGAAUUUGCCGCCGAGAAGCUUAAUCGAGUGAUCCUCGCCGAAGUUCCCUCUAUCUUGUCCUUCACUAGAGACGAUAAAAGAGGUUAGGGCUGAAUUUAAAGACUGGAUGAAGACGAUCGGUUCGCUAUAUAAGCGGUGUAUUUUAGUGGCGGAAACUUUUGUCUCUUUUGUGGAAAAGAGAACAGAGUCUCUGAAAAU
Molecule: long non-coding RNA, 1303 nt
Filed under: Bemisia tabaci
Lineage: Eukaryota; Metazoa; Arthropoda; Insecta; Hemiptera; Aleyrodidae
Description: lncRNA ENSSSA1UGG001003
Source: RNAcentral